UACAGAGGCCUCGAGCGUUAGGCGGAAUCACUGGGCUUAAAGCGUGUGUAGGUGGAUGCCUAAGUACCUUGUGAAAUCCCACGGCUUAACCAUGGAACUGCUGGGUAUACUGGGUGUCUUGAGCCACUCAGGGGCUACCGGAACAAAUGGUGGAGCGGUGAAAUGCGUAGAUAUCAUUUGGAACGCCAAUGGUGAAAACAGGUAGCUGGGGGUGUGCUGACACUGAGACACGAAAGCCAGGGGAGCAAACGGG
RNAcentral lists this ribosomal RNA (253 nucleotides) under uncultured bacterium. Its description in RNAcentral is "partial 16S ribosomal RNA". It matches the Rfam family "Bacterial small subunit ribosomal RNA", at positions 524 to 776 of the family's 1533-position model. The record is from RNAcentral.